Molecule: small RNA, 30 nt
Filed under: Bombyx mori (domestic silkworm)
Lineage: Eukaryota; Metazoa; Arthropoda; Insecta; Lepidoptera; Bombycidae
Description: ovarian small RNA-27368
Source: RNAcentral
UCCCUACCUAUGCUGAUAAGCCUUGAGAGG